AUUGAACGCUGGCGGCAGGCCUAACACAAGCAAGUCGCAAGAGGGGCGGACGGGUGAGUCAUGUCUGGGAAACUGCCUGAUGGAGGGAGAUAAACACUGGAAACAGUAGCUAAUACCGAAUAACCUCAGAUGAGCCGAGAUGGGAUUAACAAGUUGGUGGGGUAACGGCUCACCAAGGCGCCUAUCCCUAGCUGGUCUGAGAGGCUGACCAUGCACACUGGAACUGAGACACGGUCCAGAUGCCGACGGGAGGCAGCAGGGGGGAAUAGUGCACGAUGGGCGCAAUCCUGAUGCAGCCAUGCCGCGUUUAUGAAGAAGGCCUUCGGGUUGUAAAGUACUUUCAGCGGGGAGGCGUUACCCGCAGAAGAAGCCCCGGCUAACUCCGUGCCAGCCGCCGCGGUAAUAC
This 406-nucleotide ribosomal RNA is filed under the name uncultured bacterium. RNAcentral's name for it is "partial 16S ribosomal RNA". It matches the Rfam family "Bacterial small subunit ribosomal RNA", at positions 30 to 526 of the family's 1533-position model. The record is from RNAcentral.